Long non-coding RNA from Homo sapiens (human), 3477 nucleotides. Ensembl annotates it as UFL1 antisense RNA 1. Its record names the gene UFL1-AS1. The record is from Ensembl. NCBI's taxonomy places the organism in Eukaryota, Metazoa, Chordata, Mammalia, Primates, Hominidae.
GGGCGGAAGUGCCGUGGUUGUACCGCGGCGCUGGGGGUUCCUCCCGGCGAGACUGGCGGGGCUGCGGCGGCUAGGAGAGUGUCAAUGGAAGCAUUUGAGAAAAAAACACCUUUCAAAGUGAAACUGUAUUAUGUUACUGGAACAUUUGUUAAAAAUCUAUUAACCUCUAAGAAGCCAAGAACAGAAAUUCAGCAAUAAAAGGUACUCUCAGAAACCACCUCUGGCCUGAAAAGGGGCCGACUGAAACAUAUACCUAUUUGAAGAUCCCUGGCACACAGAUACAGCAGAAGAAGCCCAAAUGUGUUAUCAAACCAUUGAGAGAAACAGAACUUUCCUCAAAGCCAAGAAACAGCUUUCAAAAGGAAGUUUCCCAAAAACUCUUCUAAAAGUACCAGCAUAUCUUCAAACCAAGUAACGUUUUUUUCAAUGCUAUCCUUAACUGUUCUACUUUUAUUUGCUUGUAGAAAAGUGGCACAACCUAGACUGUCAUCGCUAAAGCCAUGACUAAAAUUUUUAGUAUUUUGUAACCACAUCAGAUUUGUGAACAUCUCCCAGUUGAUAUAAUCACUUAUUUACUCGCAUAUUGAGACUGUACCAUAACUUUGUGGUUCAGAUGGAAUUCGUUAGAAAACUAAACUGUUUUUAAAAACGUUAUGUUUUUGUUUUUCUCGUUAUAAAUUUACCUUCACAGUUUGCAAAUGCAUUAGUAUAAUCAUCUGGUAAAAAAAUGGCAACUCUUGAUUUGAUACAUUUUUAAAAAACAAGUACACUCAGGCAAAUUUUAUAAAUUCAAAACUCACAGUGUUUUGUUUUUAUUUAUAUAUUUUUCUUACAGUUUUCUUUGUUUACUUUUAAUAAUUUGUUAGUACAUCCAAUAUCUACCAAGAUGUAAUAAUCAAAUGUUCUAUUUGCAUUGGAAAAACGUUCUCACUUACAUAGCCUAAGGGCUUUAAAAAAGUUUUUCUUUGUAUUAAGAUGAUAUCGGUAUUAUAAAAAUAAACAAAUUCUCAAAAAAGGGCUAUAUUUCAUGAAGAACAACUUUGAUGUCAUGAAUUUUAGCAGAUUGUGGCUAAAAAGAUGAGUGAAGGCUUUUUUUUUAAAGAAAAAAGUGUUUUCAAGUUUUUUUCUCUUCGGCAUUCAUGCCUCUUUAUGGCUAUGAACACAAAAAUAUAUUUGCAAAAACUGUUUAUUGAUAAAAUUCUCACGGGUCAUUUGAAAUUCAUGUUGCUUCUCUUACGAAAAUAAUAUGGCCUAUAAAUUUCAGACUCAUUAAAGUAUUUUGAAAUUUUGACAGAAACUAGCAUAGAAACAUUAGAUGUUUCCUUCCAAAAAACGGGAGAAAUUAUCCUUCAUUUAAUUACCUAAAUAUAUGUGAACAUUAAAAAAAGCACCUUCUUUUGCUAUGUAGUUUUUCUUAAAGCAUAUGAGACUCUCUGAGUAGCAAAGCUUGACUGUGAGUCCAAAGAUUUUGGACACUGCAUUCUAGAUCACUCCCAGAACUAAGGUAUUGGAAUCAGAGAUUGCAGCUUCCUGUCAAAGUUGGUUUCAGUUCUAUAGUCAAUAAGAAAAUGAAAACAAAAGAUACAUAUCAAAUAUGUCUAGGUGCUAAAUUAUUAAUCAAUCCUUGGAAUACAGAGAAAAUCAGGAAAGAAUUAUGAAGGAAAUUUCAGUUAUUCAGAAUUAAAUGACAUUAAAUGACACUGAAGGUUCUACAAGCCAAAUUUUGUUGUAUAUUUAAACAGAAGGAAAUUAUAGCUUUGCACACAUUUCAGAAAAUUAACAAAUCGGUCAACUCAAGAAGCUAUACAAAGAAAAAUGGUAAAAUGCUAAAAAAAUAAGAAGGAAAAAUGUUAAGGUAAGGGCCAGAAAUUUGAAAUGAGUAAUAAUGUCACAAUAUUUGAAAAUACUCAAACUUUAGGCAAGAAUAAUGAAGAAAAAAGAAAUUCAAAUGUAAUACCAAAAAUAGCAAAUAAUUGUUGAUUUAGCAUAGAUAAAAAUUGAAGUAACUAUUUUGAGUAAUUUUAUGUUGAAAAAUUUGAAAUAUGACUAAAUAGUUGUAUUUUUGUACAAAUACAGAAAUACCAAUAUUUGUGAAAGAAAAAUUCUGAUUCAGCAGUUAACAGUUAAAGAAAUGGAAUUCAUAAACAACAACAACUAAAGGCAAAUACUAGGUCUAAAUGGUUUUCCUAUGAUAUCAACAAUUCAAUAAAUUAGGAAUACCAUCCACCUUUUUUAAAAAUUAUUUUGGAAAAUACAAAAAUUAAGAAAGAAGCUUAGCUCAUGAGGUCAAUUAUAAUCUUGUUACCCAAGCAAGAUAUGACUUUGUUUAAAAAAAAAAAGUCAUUUGUGCUUAUGAACACAGAUGCAAAAAUACAAAAAUUCAGCAAUAAUAAAUAUUAGAAAUAGAUCGUGAUGUGAUUCAAGAGUACGUUUAUGGAAGUUUAGUUGCAUUUGAUCCUAAGUAUAAAUUUAAUUGGACAAUCUCUCAAUUCCAUCUAGACUCCAGAACUUACAGACUGAAAAACCUUACUGAAAGGGUCUCUUUUCAUUGGAAAAACAUUAACUUUUAAUAUGAAUGAUUUGACUGACUGUUGCAGUGUUUUCUUCCUGUGAGACCAAUGUUUAAUGUUUUUAGAAAUACUCUGAUUAAAAGUUUCCUUAAAUCCUUUUUGAACUGAAAUGCAAUGGCAAAAACCAUUAAAUAAAUGAUGUCAGUUCAAUAUAAUCAGGUUAUAAAUGAAAUAGCCACCAUUUAAUAAAUGCUCACCCUUAGCCAGGCCUUGUGCCAAGCAUUUUACACACAUCAUUUCCUUUAAUCCUUCUAGAACCCCUAAAAAGGACACCUUUUCUCAUCCCUUCACAGAUGAGGAAAUUGCAGGCCACAGAUACAAGUAACCAGCUUAACCACUGGAUUGUGCUCUCUCUUUCCUUCUGUAAUCUACUUUGAACAAAUAAUACAAACGUGAAUAAUCCAUUUGCUAUUGGUAUCUCAAGUUUUGUUGUCUUGAUUUCCCUGGUCUCUACCUUUUAUUCUGUAAUUAAGAACUAUUUAACGAUGAGUUGAAUUUAGAUUAAUUUCUUUUAACAAGGGUAUCUGACACAUAUAUAUGGCACUUAUUAGUGUCAAACACUGAUCUGAGCACUUAUAUUAACUUAUACACACACACACCUAUUAACUCAUUAUAUCCCCAUUUUAUUGAUAAAGAAACUGAGGCCCAAAAUGAUUAAGUGACUUGUCCAAAACCACACAGAGAGUUAAUGGCACAAAAUACUUUUCAAGCCCAGGCCACCUGGCUUUAGAAUCUGGGCACUUGAUAAUUAACAUUUUAGAUCACUGAUUCCCCAGGUUGCAGCCAGAAUAUGCAAUCAUUUUAGUGAUACCAGAAUGUAAGCUUUGUGAGGGGCUUUGUUUUCUUCACUGCUGUAUCCUUAUCACCAGAAUGUAGUAGAUGCUUAAUAAAUGCUGUAUGUCUCAUA